This 433-nucleotide ribosomal RNA is filed under the name uncultured bacterium. RNAcentral describes it as "partial 16S ribosomal RNA". It matches the Rfam family "Bacterial small subunit ribosomal RNA", at positions 29 to 507 of the family's 1533-position model. The record is from RNAcentral.
AACGAGCGCUGGCGGCAUGCCUAACACAUGCAAGUCGAACGAGACCUUCGGGUCUAGUGGCGCACGGGUGCGUAACGCGUGGGAACCUGCCCUUAGGUUCGGAAUAACUCCCCGACAGGGGUGCUAAUACCGGAUAAUGUCUUCGGACCAAAGAUUUAUCGCCUUUGGAUGGGCCCGCGUUGGAUUAGCUAGUUGGUAGGGUAAAAGCCUACCAAGGCGACGAUCCAUAGCUGGUCUGAGAGGAUGAUCAGCCACACUGGGACUGAGACACGGCCCAGACUCCUACGGGAGGCAGCAGUGGGGAAUAGUGGACAAUGGGCGAAAGCCUGAUCCAGCAAUGCCGCGUGAGUGAUGAAGGCCUUAGGGUUGUAAAGCUCUUUUACCCGGGAUGAUAAUGACAGUACCGGGAGAAUAAGCUCCGGCUAACUCCGUG